GACGAACGCUGGCGGCGUGCUUAACACAUGCAAGUCGAACGGAAAGGCCCUGCUUUUGUGGGGUGCUCGAGUGGCGAACGGGUGAGUAACACGUGAGUAACCUGCCCUUGACUUUGGGAUAACUUCAGGAAACUGGGGCUAAUACCGGAUAGGAGCUCCUGCUGCAUGGUGGGGGUUGGAAAGUUUCGGCGGUUGGGGAUGGACUCGCGGCUUAUCAGCUUGUUGGUGGGGUAGUGGCUUACCAAGGCUUUGACGGGUAGCCGGCCUGAGAGGGUGACCGGCCACAUUGGGACUGGGAUACGGCCCAGACUCCUACGGGAGGCAGCAGUGGGGAAUAGUGCACAAUGGGCGGAAGCCGGAUGCAGCAACGCCGCGUGCGGGAUGACGGCCUUCGGGUUGUAAACCGCUUUCGCCUGUGACGAAGCGUGAGUGACGGUAAUGGGGAAAGAAGCACCGGCUAACUACGU
This 467-nucleotide ribosomal RNA is filed under the name uncultured bacterium. RNAcentral describes it as "partial 16S ribosomal RNA". It matches the Rfam family "Bacterial small subunit ribosomal RNA", at positions 28 to 506 of the family's 1533-position model. The record is from RNAcentral.